This 5167-nucleotide long non-coding RNA is filed under the name Homo sapiens (human). Its description in RNAcentral is "non-protein coding lnc-CDK11A-2:7". Lineage: Eukaryota; Metazoa; Chordata; Mammalia; Primates; Hominidae. The record is from RNAcentral.
AGACAGAGUGUCGCCUUGUCGCCCAGGCUGGAGUUCAGUGGCUCAGUAUUGGCUCACUGCAACCUCUGCCUCCCAGGUGCAAACGAUUCUCCUGCCUCAGACUCCCAAGUAGCUGGCACUACAGCUGUCUGCCACCACACCCAGCUAAUUCUGUUGUAUUUUAGUAGAGACAGGGUUUCACCCUGUUGGCCAGGCUGCUCUCGAACUCCUGACCUCAAGUGAUCUGCCCGCCUUGGCCUCCCUAAGUGCUGGGAUUACAGACGUGAGCCAUUGCGCCUGGCCUUUUUCUUUUUUUCUUUUUUUGAGACGGAGUCUUGCUCUCUCGCCCGGGCUGGAGUGCAGUGGUGCGAUCUCGGCUCACUGCAAGCUCCAUCUCCCGGGUUCUCGCCAUUCUCCUGCUUCAGCCUCCUGAGUAGUUGGGACUACAGGCGCCCACCACCACAUCCGGCUAAUUUUUUGUAUUUUUAGUAGAGACUGGGUUUCAUUGUGUUAGCCAGGAUGGUCUCGAUCUCCUGACCUCGUUGAUCCGCCCGCCUCAGCCUCCCAAAGUGCUGGGAUUACAGGUGUUAGCCACCACAGCCGGCCCUCUUUUUUUUUGAGAUGGAGUCUCGCUUUGUUGCCCAGGCUGGAGUGCAGUGGCGCAAUCUUGGCUCACUGCAGCCUCUGCCUCCCGGGUUCAAGCGAUUCUCCUGCUUCGGCCCCCUGAGUAGCUGGGAUUACAGGCACGUGCCACCACACCCAGCUAAUUUUUGUAUUUUUAGUAGAGACGGGGUUUCACCAUGUUGGCCACGCUGGUCUUGAGCUCCUGACCUCGUGAUCUUCCCGCCUCAGCUCCCCACAGUGCUGGGAUUCCAGGCGUGAGCUGCUGUACCUGCCCAUGAUAACUUUCUCACCACCACCAACUUCAGUUUCCCUCGCUGCUGUAAUAAUCAGUUCCCUGAGCUGGGCCUUGAGGUCCGAGUUCAUCUCCAGCUCCAGAAGAAUCUAAGAAGGCAAGAACACCAGGGUCAACCCUCAGUGCGUGUAUGAGCACCCCCAGCCUCAUUUUUGUGUUUUCUAUAGAGAUGGGGUCUCGCUGUGUUGCCCAUGCUGGUCCUGAACUCCUUAUCUCAAGUGAUCCUCCUGCCUCGGCCUCCUAAAGUGCUGGGAUUACAGCCAUCAGCCGCCGUGUCCGGCUUUAAAAAGCAAUCCUAAAAAUCGUAAACAAAAUGACACAGAGGAACCUUAUUGCUCAUCGAGCCAUGCAAGAAAGGAACCGUUUAUUUCCAGCAAGUUUAAAACAUCGAUUUGACCUCCAGCCAUGGUCGAUGAGAUGUUAGAAAACCAACUCUCUUGCUGACAACAACGAGAAAAUCUUGAUACCAUUUAGCAAAAAGAAGUCUGUGGGGGAGGCGUUGGAGAGUGACGGAACUGCCACGGCCUGAGGCACCCGGCUUCCGGAGCCUCUGGCAGCCCAGAGAAGUCUCUGUCUUGUCGCCCAGGCUGGGGUACAGUGGUGCCAUCUCAGCUGACUGCAACCUCCGCCUCCGGGUUCAAGUGAUUGUCCUGCCUCAGCCUCCUGAGUAGCUGGGAUUACAGGCGCCCACCACCAUGCCUGGACGUCCCAGUGAUCGGGAGGAGCGGGAAGAGCUUCAGCUACAACCAGGACGUGGUGCUGCUGCUUCUGACAGACGGAGUCCUGUUCCACCUUCAGAGCGUCACGGCGUACGCCCUCAUGGGGAAAAUCUCCCCGGUGACUUUCAGGCCCAGUAAAUGCGGAUGUUUAUCUUCCAUUGUUUGUUUCCUGAGAUUCAGAUGUCUAAAGCAUUUUUCUGUGACUUUUCAAGGCAAGAGGAAAACCUGACAUAUGGAAAGGGAAUUAAUUGCUCGUUUUAUCCUCUUCUCCUGCAAUGCUCUGAAUCCAUGGGUUUGGAGUGGGGCCCUGGGAGUUGGGGGAAGCACCAUACCCAGUGAGUCUGCACUUUGAGGACCCACUGCCAGUGUCAGCUUCAAAAUCACAUUGUAAAAGGCCCGGCGCGGUGGCUCACGCCUGUAAUCCCAGCACUUUAGGAGGACGAAGCAGGCGGAUCACUUGAGGUCAGGAGUUCGAGACCAGCCUGGCCAAUAUGGCGAAACCUCGUCUCUACCAAAAAUAUAAAAAUUAGCCGGGCGUGGUGGCGCGGGCCUGUGGUUCCAGCUACUCGGGAGGCUGAGGCAGGAAAAUUCCUUGAACCCGGGAGGAGGCUGCAGUGAGCCAAGACCACGCCACUGCACUCCAACCUGGGCGGCAGAGCAAGGCUCCGACUCAAAAGUAAAUACAUGAAUAAAUAAAAUAAAAUCACAUCGUAAGAGCUCUCCCUGCUUUGUUUCUGAGUAAGGUUCAGAGUUAAAUUCCGAGAUCGGCCUUUACAAGACACACAGACCUGAGGCGCCUCACGAGGUAACCAGCAGACACAGGAAGUGCCGCACAGAGCGAGCCCCUGUCGUCUUGAGUUCUGGGCCAGAGGUCGGCUAUUAUAUCAUCAUUAGGCGUCAACACAGGAAGUGAGGAUACUUCUGGCGAGCGCCGGUUGCUGUUUCUUCUCAGGCUCAGGGACCGGCCGCGGCCCCGUAGGGUGUUUUAACUCAAAUGGGUGAUGAAAAGGACUCUUGGAAAGUGAAAACUUUAGAUGAAAUUCUUCAGGAAAAGAAACGAAGGAAGGAACAAGAGGAGAAAGCAGAGAUAAAACGCUUAAAAAAUUCUGAUGACCGGGAUUCCAAGCGGGAUUCCCUUGAGGAGGGGGAGCUGAGAGAUCACUGCAUGGAGAUCACAAUAAGGAACUCCCCGUAUAGAAGAGAAGACUCAAUGGAAGACAGAGGAGAAGAAGAUGAUUCUUUGGCCAUCAAACCACCCCAGCAAAUGUCUCGGAAAGAAAAAGUUCAUCACAGAAAAGAUGAAAAGAGAAAAGAAAAAUGUAGGCAUCAUAGCCAUUCAGCAGAAGGGGGGAAGCAUGCUAGAGUGAAAGAAAGAGAGCACGAACGUCGGAAACGACAUCGAGAAGAACAGGAUAAAGCUCGCCGGGAAUGGGAAAGACAGAAGAGAAGGGAAAUGGCAAGGGAGCAUUCCAGGAGAGAAAGGGACCGCUUGGAGCAGUUAGAAAGGAAGCGGGAGCGGGAGCGCAAGAUGCGGGAGCAGCAGAAGGAGCAGCGGGAGCAGAAGGAGCGCGAGCGGCGGGCGGAGGAGCGGCGCAAGGAGCGGGAGGCCCGCAGGGAAGUGUCUGCACAUCACCGAACGAUGAGAGAGGACUACAGCGACAAAGUGAAAGCCAGCCACUGGAGUCGCAGCCCGCCUCGGCCGCCGCGGGAGCGGUUCGAGUUGGGAGACGGCCGGAAGCCAGUAAAAGAAGAGAAAAUGGAAGAAAGGGACCUGCUGUCCGACUUACAGGACAUCAGCGACAGCGAGAGGAAGACCAGCUCGGCCGAGUCCUCGUCAGCGGAAUCAGGCUCAGGUUCUGAGGAAGAAGAGGAGGAGGAGGAAGAGGAGGAGGAGGAAGGGAGCACCAGUGAAGAAUCAGAGGAGGAGGAGGAGGAAGAGGAAGAGGAGGAGGAGGAGACCGGCAGCAACUCUGAGGAGGCAUCAGAGCAGUCUGCCGAAGAAGUAAGUGAGGAAGAAAUGAGUGAAGAUGAAGAACGAGAAAAUGAAAACCACCUCUUGGUUGUUCCAGAGUCACGGUUCGACCGAGAUUCCGGGGAGAGUGAAGAAGCAGAGGAAGAAGUGGGUGAGGGAACGCCGCAGAGCAGCGCCCUGACAGAGGGCGACUAUGUGCCCGACUCCCCUGCCCUGUUGCCCAUCGAGCUCAAGCAGGAGCUGCCCAAGUACCUGCCGGCCCUGCAGGGCUGCCGGAGCGUCGAGGAGUUCCAGUGCCUGAACAGGAUCGAGGAGGGCACCUAUGGAGUGGUCUACAGAGCAAAAGACAAGAAAACAGAUGAAAUUGUGGCUCUAAAGCGGCUGAAGAUGGAGAAGGAGAAGGAGGGCUUCCCGAUCACGUCCCUGAGGGAGAUCAACACCAUCCUCAAGGCCCAGCAUCCCAACAUUGUCACCGUUAGAGAGAUUGUGGUGGGCAGCAACAUGGACAAGAUCUACAUCGUGAUGAACUACGUGGAGCACGACCUCAAGAGCCUGAUGGAGACCAUGAAACAGCCCUUCCUGCCAGGGGAGGUGAAGACCCUGAUGAUCCAGCUGCUGCGGGGGGUGAAACACCUGCACGACAACUGGAUCCUGCACCGUGACCUCAAGACGUCCAACCUGCUGCUGAGCCACGCCGGCAUCCUCAAGCCUCCCACAGCUUCGCGGGCACUGGCCUUCCUGAACACCUCUCCUGGCGUCUUAGGAAUACUCCACGGCCGUGGACAUGUGGUCAGUGGGCUGCAUCUUCGGGGAGCUGCUGACUCAGAAGCCUCUGUUCCCCGGGAAUUCGGAAAUCGAUCAGAUCAACAAAGUGUUCAAGGAGCUGGGGACCCCCAGUGAGAAAAUCUGGCCCGGCUACAGUGAGCUCCCAGUAGUCAAAAAGAUGACCUUCAGCGAGCACCCCUACAACAACCUCCGCAAGCGCUUCGGGGCUCUGCUCUCAGACCAGGGCUUCGACCUCAUGAACAAGUUCCUGACCUACUUCCCCGGGAGGAGGAUCAGCGCUGAGGACGGCCUCAAGCAUGAGUAUUUCCGCGAGACCCCCCUCCCCAUCGACCCCUCCAUGUUCCCCACGUGGCCCGCCAAGAGCGAGCAGCAGCGUGUGAAGCGGGGCACCAGCCCGAGGCCCCCUGAGGGAGGCCUGGGCUACAGCCAGCUGGGUGACGACGACCUGAAGGAGACGGGCUUCCACCUUACCACCACGAACCAGGGGGCCUCUGCCGCGGGCCCCGGCUUCAGCCUCAAGUUCUGAAGGUCAGAGUGGACCCCGUCAUGGGGAGAACUCAGCCGGGACCACAGGCGUGGCUACUGCGGCUGGAGCUGCGAUGAGACUCGGAACUCCUCGUCUUACUUUGUGCUCCAUGUUUUGUUUUUGUAUUUUGGUUUGUAAAUUUGUAGAAUUAAAUCAUUUUCCUUGUUGUGGAGGAAAGAGCUGUGUUUUCUCCGUGACUUGCCAGGGCAUCUUCGGGUGCCCACGUGGGGCAGCACAAACCUCCACACACCCUCUCCCACUCUCGACAC